RNA transcript from Carica papaya (papaya), 1283 nucleotides. It is a transcript of the gene named translation initiation factor IF3-2, chloroplastic, with no coding region annotated. NCBI's taxonomy places the organism in Eukaryota, Viridiplantae, Streptophyta, Magnoliopsida, Brassicales, Caricaceae. The record is from RefSeq and is a predicted model, not a curated record.
GGUUUGUGGAUAAGAAAACCUCCCUCUUUCAUAUGCGUGGCAGCUCCACCGCAACCUUAACGCCAUGGCUGGGAUAACCGGCGCUCUCCCUUUCAAUCCUCUCUUCUUAAGUCCCGCCAAAACUGCGCCUACUUCAUCACUCUCACUCUCCUCCUUCGAAUCCAGGCUCUUCGGUUACCACCUCCGUCAAAACAACGUCGCUCCAUUUGCUCUCUCCUCUUCUCUCCGCAGCUUCACAACUAGAGCUCGAUACGGCGGCGGCUCUCGCUUCUCGGGGUCCGGCGACUCUAGGAGGUCACGGAAAAGCGAUUCGGAUGACGAUCAAGUCCUCGAUGUCUCCACUAUUAGGUCAGAUUCCGUGAGGCUCAUUGAUGAAAAGCAGAAUAUGGUCGGUAUUGUUUCUAAAAGUGCAGCUAUACAAAUGGCGGAAGAUGCUGAGCUUGAUCUGGUGAUCUUAUCCCCUGAUGCUGAUCCUCCAGUUGUCAGAAUUAUGAAUUACAGCAAAUACAGAUAUGAGCAGCAAAAGAAGAAAAAAGAACAGCAGAAAAAAACCAGCCGUGUGGUUUUAAAGGAGCUCAAAAUGGGUUACAAUAUCGAUGAGCAUGAUUAUUCUGUGCGUUUGAAAGCGGCACGGAAGUUUUUGAAAGAUGGUGACAAGGUUAAAGUGAUAGUGAACAUGAAAGGGCGGGAAAAUGAGUUCAGAAACAUUGCUAUUGAGCUCAUUAGACGUUUCCAGAAUGAUAUUGGGGAGCUUGCAACUGAGGAGAGCAAAAACUUCAGGGAUAGAAACUUGUUCAUAGUUUUGGUUCCAAAUAAAGCUGUUCUACAGAAACCUCAAGAACCACCAAAGAAAAAGAAUAACGCAGCCAUAAAUGAAGUAUCAGCAGGAGUCUGAGUGCAUCAGGUAGAUUAAAGAGGGCUUCUAAUAGUGGAACAUCUGGCAGCUUUAAAGUGAUAGUGAAGAGCCCAAUACAUUAUUUAUGCAACAAAAAUGAGAAUUUUACUUGGAAUUAGACGCUGAAUUAUGUUCGGGGAAGGGGGUUAAAUGAUGUUGCAAGAGCCAUAACAACCCACCUGCAGAAAGCAAAGCUUUCAGGUUCUAUGCCAUUAUAGGUGUUAUGGCUAGCAGAAUGGUCCUACUCCUGCGUAGAAACAGAUUGCAUGUGCUACAUGGGAAUUUCUACAUAGAUUUAUUUUUCGUUCUUAACAGUUUUGUAAUUAAUGCAUGUUACAUAUAUAUAUAUAUAUGUAUAUAUAUUUGUUUGCCAAAAGUUUUUGGAAAA